This 358-nucleotide transfer-messenger RNA is filed under the name Elusimicrobiota bacterium. RNAcentral describes it as "Elusimicrobia bacterium transfer-messenger RNA". It matches the Rfam family "transfer-messenger RNA". From Rfam's summary of the family: Bacterial tmRNA, also known as 10Sa RNA or SsrA, is named for its dual tRNA and mRNA-like properties. Lineage: Bacteria; Pseudomonadati; Elusimicrobiota. The record is from RNAcentral.
GGGGGUGAACUAGCUUCGACAGACGGAGUUGAGCUGAAGAUCGCAGGCACGGGUUGGUCAGGGCCCGUCAAAAACCGGACCAAACAACAACUGCCAACACUCAGUUGGCCUGGGCCACUGCCUAACCCGCAGUGAGCACACGCUGGUCCUUGACGCCUGCUAAAGGGUAGCCAGUGUAAUGAGCAGGAUGCGGUCCUUCCCCGUGAACCCGUGGGCGGGGGGCCUAAGACCGAACGGGAUUAGCCCGGAGAGCACGCGUCCAUCGGUUUUCUCCGGGCGAAAUUGAGGAUGGGCUAAGCCUGUAGUGAUCCCAGUCGGCUGCGUUUGGACGCGGGUGCAACUCCCGCCACCUCCACCA